Molecule: transfer RNA, 361 nt
Filed under: uncultured Microcystis sp.
Lineage: Bacteria; Bacillati; Cyanobacteriota; Cyanophyceae; Chroococcales; Microcystaceae
Description: partial 16S-23S ribosomal RNA intergenic spacer
Rfam family: tRNA (bases 136-209)
Source: RNAcentral
AAAGGGAGACCUAAUUCAGGUAGGAGACGAAAAAAAAGUAGUCGCUACCAAGAAUCAAUCCCAAAAGGUCGGAGCGAGGCGAAAUUGGCUUUCAAACUAGGUUCUGGGUUCAAACAAGACCUGAAUCAGGAACAAGGGCUAUUAGCUCUGGUGGUUAGAGCGCACCCCUGAUAAGGGUGAGGUCCCUGGUUCGAGUCCAGGAUGGCCCACCUGCACAGGUGGCAAAAACAAGAGAAGCGAGGAAUCAGCACCUUAUCUUACUGACAUAGUAAGAGAGAAUGCUGGCUCUGAGUAAAGAGUCCAGAGGAACCUUGAAAACUGCAUAGAGCUAGGUGAAAAAGCCAAAAAAGAAGACCGCAAG